Molecule: long non-coding RNA, 392 nt
Filed under: Homo sapiens (human)
Lineage: Eukaryota; Metazoa; Chordata; Mammalia; Primates; Hominidae
Description: HSALNT0176012
Source: RNAcentral
ACUUUGGGUCCUUUCAAAUCCAGGUCAACAUCAGGCAUGGAGAUCUUGGGGGCUUUGAUGCUCAUCUCAGGCAUCUUGAACUUGGGGCCCUUUAGUUUCGCAUCUGGACCUUCGAUAUUCACAUCAGGAACAUCAACGUCCACUUUGGGUCCUGAGACAUCAAUGUCAGCCUUGGGCAGGUUCACAUCCACAUCUGGGCCCUCUCCUUUGAAGCCAGGCAUGCUGAACUUGGGCAUUUUCACUUUGGGCAUUUUUAAGUGCCAGUCUGGGCCUUGAACGUCCACAUCUGGGACAUCAAUGUCCACUUUGGGGCCCUUGAUGUCAACUUCAGGGCCCUUGAGGUCACCUUCCACUUUGGGCAGAGAAAUAUCCACAUCGCCCUUCACCUUGGG